GACGAACGCUGGCGGCGUGCCUAAUACAUGCAAGUCGAACGCACAGUUUAUACCGUAGCUUGCUACACCAUAGACUGUGAGUUGCGAACGGGUGAGUAACGCGUAGGUAACCUGCCUGGUAGCGGGGGAUAACUAUUGGAAACGAUAGCUAAUACCGCAUAAUAUUGAUUAUUGCAUGAUAAUUAAUUGAAAGGUGCAAUUGCACCUCUACCAGAUGGCCCUGCGUUGUAUUAGCUAGUAGGUCAGGUAACGGCUCACCUAAGCGACGAUUCAUAGCCGACCUGAGAGGGUGAUCGGCCACACUGGGACUGGGACACGGCCCAGACUCCUACGGGAGGCAGCAGUAGGGAAUCUUCGGCAAUGGACGAAAGUCUGACCGAGCAACGCCGCGGGAGGGAAGAAGGUUUUCGGAUCGUAAAGCUCUGUUGUAAGAGAAGAACGGGUGUUAGAGUGGAAAGUUCACACUGUGACGGUAUCUUACCAGAAAGGGACGGCUAACUACGUG
RNAcentral lists this ribosomal RNA (505 nucleotides) under uncultured bacterium. RNAcentral describes it as "partial 16S ribosomal RNA". It matches the Rfam family "Bacterial small subunit ribosomal RNA", at positions 28 to 507 of the family's 1533-position model. The record is from RNAcentral.